UACGUAGGGUGCGAGCGUUAAUCGGAUUUACUGGGCGUAAAGCGUGCGCAGGCGGCCCGUUAAGACAGGUGUGAAAUCCCUGGGCUCAACCUAGGAAUUGCGCUUGUGACUGGCGGGCUCGAGUACGGUAGAGGGUGGUGGAAUUCCUGGUGUAGCAGUGAAAUGCGUAGAGAUCAGGAGGAACACCGAUGGCGAAGGCAGCCCCCUGGGCCUGUACUGACGCUCAUGCACGAAAGCGUGGGGAGCAAACAGG
Molecule: ribosomal RNA, 253 nt
Filed under: uncultured microorganism
Description: partial 16S ribosomal RNA
Rfam family: Bacterial small subunit ribosomal RNA
Source: RNAcentral